UUCCGCAUUGCAGUGGCUGUUGUGUCAGUGAAGAAUCAAAGGUAUUUUUGAAAUGUGCGGUUUGCGAUUUCAAGCUGGGUAUGAAAUGUGCUACACUGCCAUACAAAGCAAGACACGAGUAUGAUGACCAUCCUCUCUUCCUCACCUACAUUAAUGAAAAUGACUACCAGCCUUCCUGCAUAAUUUGUGAAAAAGAUAGAGACCCGAAGCUCUGGUUCUACCGUUGUGAGGAAUGCGACUUCGAUGCUCAUCCAGAAUGUGCUCUCGGGAAAUACCCAUACGUCAAGCAGGGGGGUUUAACAUAUCCUAAACACCCUCACCCUCUUGCUUUGGUCGACAAGACAGAGGAUUAUCGUCCACAGGCAUGCGAUAUUUGUGGUGACCUUGCGAUGACUUGGCCUUGAAUGUACUGAUCCUAACUGCAUUUUAUCGUCCACAGGAAAGAUGGCAAUGCUUUGACUCAUUAUGUAAUUGGAUUGCAGUUGUUGGCUUUUUUCUUAUUUUUGGGUUAUGAUUGUUGGGGUGAAUGGUUAGCUUCAUACUUAUUAUCUCUGUUUCUAUUUUCGCUUAUCAGAUCACUUUUUUUUCUUUUUUUUUCUGAACAAUAAAAGAUGCUAUUUCAUUAAAACUGUCAAUGUAGUUUGUUGUUUCUUUGUGCCUUCGUAAGUGACGAAGAUGUCUGACCUUCCACCAUUUUUUUAGCUUAGCAGGAAGCUCUCCAUAAAUUCUGCUUUUACAUUUUUGUUAUAGAUUUUAUUGUAAAUGCAAAAAUAUUUCAUAAAAAUAACACUUAUCUAAUGAUAUCAAUUAUUUUCAUUCAAAUAUUUAAUUUUUAUUUCCUUAACACAAUCUAAUAAUAAAUAAAUGUAUUUAAAUAAUAUUUAAAACGAAGAUCUCAAGGGCAUUCCAUAGCUUUGUCCUUUAAUAAGAUAUCUCAUGAAAAAAUAAGUUAAUUUAUGUUUUUGGUAUUUUUCUUCUUAAGAAGAAUAAAAAUAAAAAUAAGAAUAAGAAUAAGCCUAUGGUUAUCUAAUUUCAAAAUCACGAAGGGAUUUAGAGGCUCAAAUCCUAAAAAAAAAAAAAAAACUAAAUAGAAAAAAAAUUAUAAAUCAACUAAUAAAAUAUUAAGUCUAGAUAUUUUUUUUGGUUUUAUUUGAAAGUCUUGUUGAUUUUAAAUGAUUACAAAAUUCUAAUUUUAUAGAAAAUAAAGCUUUUAAAAUUUUCUAAUAAAAUUUGAGUUGGAUUAAGAUAAAAAAAAAUAAAAUUAUGCCCUUUACAAGAUUGCUUAUAUUUUAAAAAAUAUCAUAUAUUAAUCGUCUCGAAUUCAAAUUGUUGUUGCUUCAAUUUCGCAAGUAUCAAAUUAAAAAUCUCAAACCUUUUGCACGUGCAGGCAACAUUCCCAGCCUUCUCGGUAUUAAGAGUUCUUAUGGCAGCUUAUGACAGCUUUAUUGUCAUAAUACAACUUCGUUGGCAUAUUCAUCGGCAUUCACAGUUCUUCAAGAAUUCUCUUCAGCCAUAACAUUUCACAAACUCCAUUUUCAUAACCUUAUAUUCUACUUGAGCACUGCUUCUUCCAACCAUAUUUUGUUUCUUACUUUGCCAUGUAACCAUAGAUUUAAGUACAAUAUUCUAAUGUGGAUCUUCUAUCAAUAACUAAACCUGCCCAUUCUACAUCAGCUUCAAGAUGUUUUGCAUGGGGUGAAUGCAAACCCAGCAUUUGUAUUCCAAACAAAAAGCAAUAACAUGAUAAUUCAAUUAAGGUUAGGAAUUUUUUUUUUAAUAUAAUUAAUAAAAAUUUCAGCAGAGUUUUCUUUAUAUUUUUAGAUAUCAAGAUAUUAACUUUUUUUCUGUAAUCCUCAAUAAUCAAAUUUUUUACUCGUUUUAUAAUUCAAGACUGAUUGUGUAAAGAUAGAUAUAGUGAUCGCAUAAAAUAUCUUACUAAACUCACAAUAAAUGUAAUAUUAGAUCAUGUUUGUGAUAAGUAAAUCAGCUCUCCCACUAACUUUUGAUACUGUGUUGUAUUCACACUAGAUCACCUUCCUUGUCAUCUUCAAGUUUCUGAUUGGGAUCUAUUGGAGUGUCUGCUAGCCUACAACCACUCAUCCCAGUCUCCUUAAGAACAUCAAGGACACACUGCUGCUGUUGGGAUAUAACGAUCCCCUUCUUCGACAGAACAAUCUCUAAUCCAAGAAAAUCCUUAAUCUCUAUUUCAAUGGCAUAUGGGUGAUUAUUAGAUUGAAAGGUUUUCCUUCUUUGAGAGAACCUUUUUUAAAGUGAAAUAAACACAACUUUCAGUUUAUACGUUGCUUGUAAGAAUAGCACAUAUGAGUAUGAUUUUGAGAUUUGAAAGAACUCCUUGUUUAAGAGGAAAUUGGACUUUGUCAUGUGAAAUGAACACCUUUUCAAUUUAUACCCUGCAGAAAAUGAACAUCUAAUUAUUUGUCUAGCAAAGUAGCUUCAGUUGAAGAUUGCCUGUCUCACUUGCAAUGCAUGUGGCACUGAUUUGUUGAAGAUUAUUACCAGCAGACGUCACAUCUGUUGCAUUUCUUCAUUCAGCUAACCCAGUCUCACAAAAUUUUCCCUGUGUUUAGAAAGUUUCACCAAAACAAUAAAGCUAAAAAUGUCAUUACAAUUUCCUAGUAGAUAUUCAACUUUGCUAUGAGUUUUCAAAACAUGAUAAAAAGAUUUCUAUUUUUUUAUUCUGUUCAAGCAACAUUGACAUGGCAAUAAGCUAGCAUUGCACUGUUAUGGAUCAUGGCGAUUUGAUUUGUUUUUCAAUUUACAAUUUAGUCAAAUUCAAAGAAAACUUACACACAAAAAAGGAAAUAACCUGUUCAAAAUCUAAUUAGAAAUAAACUUCAUUUUGAUAUAUGGAAACUGAUUAUAAUGAUAACAUGACCAUUGAAACCUAAAAACAUAAAUUUGUUAAUUAAGAAAUGCUAGGAAAACUUUUUUUUUUUUUUACUAAUAUUUGUUUAUCAAUAAAAAUAAAAGGCAUCUAAAGUUUUUGCCAUUUACAAAAUUUUACAACACAUUGAGCCAUGAAAGUUGCCUGUUUUGGAAUGAGUCUAGAGAGGUCUUUGAAAUUGCAGUGAGACCUGAUUUAAAAAAAAAAAAUUUAAUUUUAAAUUUAAUUUUUUAUAUUUUUAUAUACAUAUUGUAUCGGUAUUAUAAAUAAAAUUUAAAAAAUAUAUAAUAAAAAUUUUAAUCCAUUCAAAAAUAAUAAUAAUAAUAAUUACCACUAUCUUAUACCACAUCCACAUAGCAUCGGUUUUGCUUUGAAAACAACUUGGCGACUGAAUGGUGGUCUAGUUAAACGUAUUUUUCUAAUCAGUGAUUUUUCUUUUAAAUUCAAGACGGUUGGCAUGUACUUGUGCUUCGUUAUCUUAUUUAAUUUUUUAUUCUAUAGUAAAAAGGUAUUUUUUUUAUUAGUUUAUAUGUCAAUCAUGAUUGAGUUUUUUAUUCAAAUGAUUUUAAGGAUAAACAAUUUAAAGUUAUGAAUCAUCGAACAAUCCAUUUAAAGUUAUAUAAUUAUGUUGUGAUGUAUCUUAAAUCAAAUAAAAAUUAUACUAGAUUAUUAACAUUUUUUAAUAAAUAUAAAAGAAAUAUUCAAACAUUACUAAUAUAUUUUUAAACAAAAAAAAAUUUAAAUAAUAUGAGGGUUAAUUUGAUAUAAUUUGGUUGAUUUUACAAGUUUACAAGUAAUCUAUAUAACCCGAAAAAACAUAAUUUGAUUAAAAAAAAAUUUAAGAUGAUAUAUUUUUUUAAUAUUAAGAUAAAAAUAUAUUAAAUUAUUUUAUUAAAUUAAAUCCAAAAAAAGUGAGUUUUUUUAACAGAAGCAAGAAAAACAUUUUUUUGUAAUGAUUUAUGUGCACAUUAAAAUGUGUUUUAUAUACUUGAUUUGGUUCUUGAUCUAUAGUAAUGAACCGGCUUUAUUUAAAAAUUUCUCAAAAAAUAAAAUUGCGUUGAACAAAUUAAUAAAACUACGCUAUCUCUUCUUUUUUUAUAUAUAUUAAAUGAUUGGUUAAAGAUGAAAUAAAUAAUUCUAUAUUAUUUGUUUGUACGUAUUACUUUUAAGCAUAGACUCUUUUAUUUGGUGAUAUAUAUUUUUAUCUAUGUUGUUUGCCUUUUUUUUCUGUUGUGUUUUUAUUCAUUGACAAUCGAGGCUCAAGAUGUCAAUUGGAUUUUAUUUGUUGUGAGCCAAUCUUUUAUUUUUAAUGAGAUCAUGUAUUUUUAAAAUUCAUCUUGAUGUCUUACUAUGCAUUUACACAUCACUUUCCGCUUUUAGGAACUCUGAAAGUGGAUCCUCCACAACAACAACUGCAUUUUACAUUGAGAAUGAAUGGCCAAAAUUUAAAGAAUACAUAGUGGCUGUAGAAGAUGAGGAAUGGGAGGAGGAAAACAUAUGGGAAUUCACAAAAUUAAUAGAACAACACGAACAGGCUUGGAGGCCCGCUAAAGAGGAACUUGAAACCAUAAAUGUAGGCAAUGAAGAAAUCAAACGAGAGCUGAAGAUAGGGACUUUGAUCACCCCUGCAGCAAAGGAAGAGUUGAUUGCACUGCUCAAAGAUUAUGUGGAUGUCUUUGCCUGGUCCUACGAGGAUAUGCCUGGUUUGGAUACAGACAUUGUGGUACAUAAAAUACCACUGAUGGAAGGAUGCAAGCCGAUCAAACAGAAGUUAAGGAGAACUCAUCCAGAGAUCUUAAUCAAAGUAAAGGCGGAAAUUGAAAAACAAUGGGACGCCGGUUUUUUGGAAGUAGUGAAGUAUCCACAAUGGGUGUCAAAUAUAGUGGUGGUACCCAAAAAGGAAGGUAAAAUCAGAGUUUGCAUGGACUUUAGGGACUUAAACCGGGCUAGCCCUAAAGAUAAUUUCCCUUUACCACACAUAGAUAUGUUAGUUGAUAAUGCAGCACGCAGCUCCACAUAUUCUUUCAUGGAUGGGUUUUCAGGCUACAAUCAGAUAAGAAUGGCGCCAGAGGAUAGGGAGAAGACAACCUUUGUAACACCAUGGGGAACCUUUUGCUACAAAGUCAUGCCAUUUGGUUUAAAGAAUGCUGGGGCCACUUACCAAAGGGCUAUGGUGACUUUGUUUCACGACAUGAUGCACAAAGAGAUUGAAGUAUACGUGGAUGACAUGGUUGCUAAAUCUAAAGAGGGAGAGAAUCAUGUCCAAGUAUUGAAGAAAUUAUUUGAAAGAUUAAGGAAAUAUAAGUUGAGGCUUAACCCAGCAAAGUGUUCAUUCGGGGUGAAAUCCGGUAAGCUGUUGGGAUUUGUGGUGAGUGACAAAGGGAUAGAAGUGGAUCCUGAAAAAGUAAAAGCUAUUCAAUCUAUGCCACCCCCAAGACUGAGAAGGAGGUGAGAGGUUUCUUAGGAAGGUUGAAUUACAUCGCUCGGUUUAUAUCCCAUUUAACCGCGACUUGUGACCCGAUCUUUCGUUUGUUGAGGAAGAAGAACCCUGGAAUAUGGAAUGAAGAGUGUGAUAAAGCUUUUGAGAAAAUCAAGCAGUACUUGCUAAAUCCACCUCUGCUUGUUCCUCCCGUACCAGAAAGGCCAUUGAUUUUAUACCUAACAGUAACCGAAACAGCAAUGGGAUGUGUGCUUGGGCAACAUGAUGAAACCGGAAGGAAGGAAAGGGCCAUUUAUUACCUAAGCAAGAAGUUCACGGAAUAUGAGUCUAGGUAUACUGUGAUUGAGAAGCUGUUGUGCACUAGCAUGGGCUACAAAGAGAUUACGUCAGUAUAUGUUGUAUCACACUACAUGGUUAAUUUCCAAGUUAGACCCGUUAAGGUACAUUUGUGAAAAGCCUUAUCUAUCUAGCCGAAUUGCAAGAUGGCAAGUUCUUUUGGCUGAGUAUGACAUAGUAUAUAUGACAAGGAAAGCCGUGAAAGGGAGUGUUAUUGCCGAUCACCUGGCUGACCAUGCUAUGGAAGAUUAUGAGCCGUUAAACUUUGACUUUCCCGAUGAAGAUGUGUUUGCAAUCGAGGAAGAGAAAUCAGAUUGGUGGGUUAUGUACUUUGAUGGUGCUGUAAAUGUAUGUGGUAACGGAGCGGGGGCAGUGAUAAUCUCUCCUGAUAAGAAGCAGUAUCCGGUUUCAGUUAAGCUGCAGUUCGGGUGCACCAACAACACGGCUGAGUAUGAAGCUUGCAUUCUUGGUUUAGAGGCUGCAUUAGAGAUGAACAUAAAAAGAUAGAUGUGUAUGGAGAUCAAUGCUGAUCAUUUGCCAAGUAAAAGGAGAAUGGCAAACCAAAGAAGAGAAGUUAAGGCCUUACCAAGAAUACCUGUCUAAGCUGCUAAAGAAUUUGAGGAAAUAGAGUUCACCCAUCUGGGAAGGGAAGGGAACCAGUUUGCAGAUGCUUUGGCCACACUAGCAUCUAUGGCCAAGAUAGACUUUGGGCACAAGGUACAGCCAGUACACAUCAAUAUCAGAAAUAACCCCGCUCAUUGUUGCUCAGUCGAAAGAGAAGUGGAUGGAAACCCGUGGUACUAUGAUAUCAAGAAUUUCAUCCAAAACCAGGCAUAUCCCAUGGGGGCAUCCAAAAUCGACAAGAAGACCUUGAGAAGGUUGGCAAUGGAUUUUUAUCUUGAUGGGGAGAUUUUGUAUAAGAAAUCAUCUGACGGGACUUUGUUGAGAUGUUUGGAUGAAUUUGAGGCAAAAAGCACAGUACGGGAAGUCCAUGAAGGGAUUUGCUCAACUCAUGCUAGUGGACAUGUGAUGGCCAGGAAGAUACAAAGAGCCGGGUACUUCUGGAUGACGUUAGAGAAGGAUUGUAUCGAUUAUGUCCGGAAAUGUCAUAAGUGCCAAGUAUACAGUGACAAAAUCAAUGCUCCUCCGGCUCCUCUGUUUAAUUUAACAUCUCCAUGGCCUUCGCGAUGUGGGGAAUUGAUGUGAUUGGACCGGUAAACCCAAAAGCCAGCAAUGGUCAUAGGUUUAUUCUCGUGGCUAUCGACUACUUCACAAAAUGGGUAGAAGCUGGGUCAUUUGCUCAUGUGACGCAAAAAGUGGUGAAGAAAUUUAUUGAGAGAGAUUUGAUAUGUCGGUAUGGUCCACCAGAAAAGAUUAUAACUGAUAACGCCCAGAAUUUCAACGGCAAGAUGAUAAUAGAGCUCUGCACUAAAUGGAAAAUCAAGCAUUCCAAUUCUUCGCCAUAUAGACCAAAGAUGAAUGGUGCGGUAGAAGCUGCUAACAAGAAUGUCAAAAAGAUUAUUCAGAAGAUGGUAGUCACCUAUAAGGAUUGGCAUGAGAUGUUGCCAUUUGCCCUUCAUGCAUAUCGCACCGCAGUUCGAACCUCAACAGGAGCCACCCCGUAUAUGUUGGUAUAUGGAAUGGAGGCGGUGAUGCCUUUAGAAGUGGAAAUCCCAUCAUUGAGAGUGUUGUUAGACUCUGAGCUGGAAGAGGUAGAAUGGGCAAAGGUUAGAUAUGAACAGUUGAAUCUGAUCAGUGAAAAGAGGAUAGCCGCGAUCUGUCAUCAUCAACUCUACCAAAGAAGGAUGGCUAAAUCAUAUGACAAGAAGGUUCGACCUCGAGGAUUCCACGAAGGAGAUCUUGUACUAAAGAAAAUAUUACCUUUACCUGGAGAAGAUCAGAGUAAAUGGGCACCUAACUACGAGGGGCCUUACGUGGUGAGGAAAGCAUUCUCAGGAGGAGCUUUGUUACUGUCUAGAAUGGAUGGAGAAGAUCUAGUUAGGCCUGUGAAUUCUGACUCUGUAAAGAAAUACUACGCUUGAUGUAUUUCGUAAUUUCCCAGUCAAUAAAAUAAAUUUCGGCCAUGAAUUCUCUUUGUAAAGAGUCCUUUUAUAUAUAUAUAUAUAUAUAUAUAUAUAUAUAUCAUAUGAUCUCAUAGCAUUUGAAAUCUUUUGUUUAAAAGAACUUUUUAUGGCAUGACUAAGAAAAUGACUCCAUCAAUUGGAGAACCAAAUCAAAUCUACUUGACAUAUAGUUGCACAUCACACUAGGGGGCAAAAGGUGCACGAAGUGCACAUAAGGGUCUAUAGUAAACCCAAGCCCAAAAGGGGUAUCAUAAUAAAAACUUCUAAAAAAGCAUCUUUUAUAAGAUUUGCUAAUUGCAUUAAAAGUUUCAGUUUUCAUGAACAAAACCAAUUUUUUCCUUUGGCACAAAACUCAAUGGAGCAAGAAAGGGCCCCAUGAGAAAAGCUUGAAACAAGAGCGAAGAGGUUUACGACGAAAGGGGGACCUAUGUUUCCAAGAUAGGUAACAAAAACAUACAUGCAUAUUAACCAUAAUACAUUGCUUUCAACAUUUGUCAGAUCGGGAUUUCAUCACCAUUUCUCAGGUAGCGCGUUUUCUAAACCCUAUCUCUUUUCGAGUGCGUUGUAUGAGCCCUCACUUUUUGGGUAGUGCGUUUUCUAACCCUAUCUCUUUUCGAGUGCGCUGUUUGAGCCCUCACUUCUUGGGUAGUGCAUUUUCUAACCCUACCUCUUUUUCGAGUGCGCUGUUUGAGCCCUCAUUUCUCAGGUAGUGCGUUUUCUAAAACCCUACCUCAUUUCGAGUGCGCCUUUGAGCCCUCACCAACAUUUUCUGGGUAGGUCACCCAUUACAACGCGACCAUUUUUUCCAAUUUUUUUUUUACUUGGGCAGGUCACCCAUAAGAAUGAGGCCAUUCCUUCCCCUGGGUAGGUCACCCAAAGAAUGAGACCACACUUUCUUUUUCCUUGGGUAGGUCACCCAUCACAAUGAGACCAUGUUUUUUUUUUGGGUAGGUCACCCAUCACAAUGAGACCAUUCUCCAUCUUUUUUUACCUGGGUAGGUCACCCAUAAGAAUGAGGCCAUUCCUUCCCCUGGGUAGGUCACCCAAAGAAUGAGACCACUCUUCCUUUUUCCUUGGGUAGGUCACCCAUCACAAUAAGACCAUAUUUUUUCUGGGUAGGUCACCCAUAAGAAUGAGACCAUUCUCCAUUUUUUAUUUAUCUGGGUAGGUCACCCAUAAGAAUGAGGUCAUUCCUUCCCCUGGGUAGGUCACCCAAAGAAUGAGACCACUCUUUCUCUUUUCCACUCGGGCAGGUCACCCAUCAUAAUGAGACCACACACACAUUUUUUGUAUUGGUUAUGAGUAAAGGAAUCGCCGGAUGGGAUUCCAGGUUAAAGGAGAUCACCAGAUGGGAUCUCGGAUGGAUUUCCAUGAUUGAUAAAACUAAAGUAAGAAUUCAGAGGAUCGAUGGAUAAGGAUCUCGAUAUAACUAAGUUUUGAUCAUAGUUUUUGGGCUAAGGAGGUUUGUUGUAAAAGACAAAGUUUCAGAUCAAUUAAGCUUCGAACAGAUUAGUUUCGGGAGUUCCGUUUUGGGUUUAUCUUUAUAACACUUACUGCGCAAAACCCAUGCUCCGUAAGUAUUAUAAAGAGGGGGCAUCUGUUGUAACCCAUUUUUGGGUCCCCAUAAAAAAUAAAAUAAAUAGCCAAAAGAGUUUAGAAAAAAUAACAGGAGGCAGAAGCGCUCAGGAAACAGUCAGAAAAUUGGUCAAGGAAUUUAAAAAUACAAGGAUUGAAUUUUUUACAGUAUAUUCUUGAAGGAUGAAAGCCCUAUUGAGAAGGAAAAAUUUGAAUUUUGAGGAGAAAAGCCCAAAUUUGGAUGUUUAUGGACUUAAUUGGAUUUUAUAUGAUUUAUAGAAGAUUUGAUUGCAAGAAAAAUUGAUUUUUAAGUCAAUUUGGGCUUAAUUUGAAGAAAUUUAAGUUCUGGGGCCAAAUAUAUUUUUUUAGGGUCAAAUCAGGGGCUUAAUUGCAUAAAUAUUGAAGUUUAAUGGCCAAUUAGGGACUUAAUUGUGAAAUCCGAAACCAGGGACCAAUUUGGAGAAGGCGCAAAGAUAGAGGGGCUGUUGGUUGUUUCAGGGCUUAAUUGAAGAAUUGGAAGUUUAUUGAUCAAUUAAGGGCUUAAUUAUGAAAAUCAGAGGCCAAGGACCAAAGUGAAAACGCGGCCAACUAUAGAGGUAGGGACCGAAUUUGGCAGGGACGCAAUUGAAUUUUAUUCUUGAUUGAAGGACUCGAUUGAAGGACUUAAUAGAAAAAUGACAAAUUAGGGACUGAUUUAAAAACAAAGUUUCUCUGGCGCCUUUAUUUUAAAAUGAAACGGCGCGUUUUGUCCAAAACGACGCCGUUAUGCAUAAAUAAAAAAAAAAAAAAAAAAGAGACCGAACGGUGCCGUUUUGAACGGCACUGUUCACUGUCUUCUUCCCCCCCGAAGAUUACAGCGGGGAAGAAGGAAAAGUUUGUAUUUUUUUUGCAGGUCCCUCUUGCCACCGACCGAGGCCCCACGCCGGUGGGCCACCGACAGAAAACAAUGGCCGACAACCUGCCUCGUUGCCGAAGCCGAGGGAGGCCCGCCGCUCCUCGACCCGCUCCGGGGCUCCACGUUGAAGUCACGCCAUGGUUCUAUAAAUAGAGAACCGAAAGGGAGAACAAGGGACGAACGAAAAAAAAAAAAGAAAGGAGAGGAACCCCGAAACAAAAAAAAAACGAAGAGAGAGAGGAAGAGAGAGAAACACUGUAACAGAGGAGAGAGAGCCACUGAAAACCCAAGAAAACCGAGAGCAAAGGGAGGUUUGAAGCCGGGAGGGAAUUUAAGAAAACAAAACCAACCCAACGAGCCGAGAGGACGUCGCCGGGCCACUUGGAAUUCGCCGUGAGAAGCCGCCGUCCGUGAAGCUAGGACACUGCCACCACCACCGCAGCCCCGCCAGCAAACCACCUCCUCCACCGCACCAGGUACGCCUCCUUUCCUCCCCCUGCAUUUUUUUUAAUCUAUAUCAGUUUUGCCUCCUGCAUGCAGGAGGCGGGGGGGGGGGAAUAAUUCCCCCCCCCCCCGUGCUCUUUUUUUUAUUUCUCUGGGACAGAUUGUGUCUGGCCCAGACCGAGGUUAAUUAGUUUGUUGGGCCGAGAUCGGCCCAGUCCCUGUUGGGCCGAGAUCGGCCCAACGACUUUUGGGGCUGGGUCCGGCCCAGUUUAGUUGGGCCGGCCCAGCCCCUUUUAAAUAUAUAAAUAUAUUAUAAUUAUAUUAUAUUAUUAUUAUUAUUAUAUGUGUGUGUAUAUAUAUAUAUAUGUUUUUUUUUGAAAAAAAUUUGAAAAAUCUAAAAAAAAUUGUUGUUAUUUUCUUUUCAUAUAAAUAUAUUUUUGUUUUAUACAUUUGGUUUGUAUUUUUAUACUGUAAAGAUACAAAACCAGUGUUAAAAAUACCCGGUUCUCGUCAAAACAUCAAAGAUUUUUCAUAAUAAAAAAUGUUUUUGCUUUCAAAAAAAUUCUAAAAGGUCCCUAAAAAUAUUGUUGAUUUUUCUGCAUAUUUUUAUCAAAGCGGAUUAAUAUUGGGUUGUAUUUUUAUACCGUAAGGAUACAAGCUCAGUAUUAAAAUACUCGAUUUUCAUCAAAGCAUAAAAAAAAAAUAUAUUUUCCAAAAAUUGUUUUUUUUUGUUUUAAAAUACGGCCUAGUCUCUCCAAUAUAUAUAUAUAUAAAUAUUAUAACAUCAUAUUUUCACACAACGAAGAAAAUUUUCAAAACAAUAUAUGUAUUAACAUGUAUUUUGGCUUUAAUAACCAGUUUAUUCAAGCCAUGAGAACUAGGCCAAUAUUUCAAAAAUUCUAAAAAAUCUUUUUUGUUUUCUUUUAGUAUUUGGGAUUACGAAUUUAUACAUAAAACGUAUUCCUAAAUAUUAUUAAUAAAGUUUUGGGUAUAGACGUUAGAACGGUUAGGAUUUUACCCGAUAAGAUAAAAGACCUUCUUACCGAGGAGGAUUUUUCUUGAACCAUAGACAGACCAACGACUAGAAGUAUAAUAACACUUUAGUUUUUAUCAGACAAUAAAACAAUGCAGCUUACCUUAGGUAGGGCGUAUUUGGGGUGCUAAUACCUUCCCUUUACGCAACCAGUCUCCGUACCCGAUCUCUGAGACCAGUUAGGGUUCCUAGUGACCAAAAUACUAGAUGGCGACUCCAAAAAAUCAAACCAAAUAAAAAAAUUCGCCAGUCGAACCCGCAAUUGAAAAAUUGGUUUUUUUUAGGGUGCAACACUUUUUAUCAGAUCUUGUGAAAAUACUGGUUUAUUAUUUCUUGUUCUCGUAUAACAGUAGAGGGUUAUAUAUAUACAAAGCCUAGAAAGCUAUUUUAGGAAUAUUACUACGGGCCUAUAAUCUUGCAGAAUUAAAUACAAUGAAUCAAACUAAUUAGGAAUACACAGCUCAUUGACACUCCCCCUCAAGUUGGAGCAUAUAUGUUGCUCAUGCCCAACUUGCUAAGUGAGUUGUGAAAUACUUUGCCUGUGACAACUUUGGUGAGGACAUCUGCAAGUUGAUCUUUGGAUUUAACAAAGGACACCUCGAUGAUCUUUGCCUCGAGUUUUUCCUUGAUGAAAUGUCUAUCAACUUCAACAUGUUUGGUUCUAUCAUGUUGUACUGGAUUAUGUGCAAUAUCUAUUGCAGCUUUGUUGUCACAAUUCAAUUGCAUGGCAUGAUUGGGUUUGAACCCCAAUUCCCCUAAUAAAUUCCUUAUCCAGAGUAGCUCACAUACUUCGUGUGCCAUACCUCGAUAUUCUGCUUCAGCACUUGAUCUUGACACUACGUUCUGUUUUUUACUUCGCCAAGAUACUAGAUUGCCUCCCACAAAGGUAAAAUAUCCAGAUGUAGAUCGUCUGUCAGUAAUAGAGCCUGCCCAGUCUGCAUCGGUGUGACCCUCGAUAUCUAAAUGACCAUGUCGUGAGAACAUCAAUCCUCUUCCAGGAGCUGACUUCAAGUAUCUCAGAAUUCGGUUUACUGCAUCCAUGUAGGCUUCACUUGGUGCAUGCAUGAACUGACUUACCACACUUACAGCAUAUGCUAUAUCAGGUCUAGUGUGUCCCAAAUAAAUCAACUUACCUACAAGGCGUUGAUAUCUUCCUUUGUUGGUGGGUACCUGAUUAGGAUAUUCACCAAGUUGAUGAUUCAACUCCAUUGGCGUGUCUGCUGGUUUACUAGCUAACAUUCCAGUGUCAGUUAAAAUAUCAAGGAUAUAUUUCCGUUGUGAUAGAAAUAUUCCUUGUUUAGAACGAGCCACUUCGAUGCCUAAAAAAUACUUUAGAGCACCAAGAUCUUUCAUUUCAAACUCACUUGCCAAGUGCCGCUGCAGUGCUGCCUUUUCCUCCGGGUCAUUCCCUGUAACUACCAUAUCAUCAACAUAUACAAUAAGGGCAGUGACUUUACCUUUCUUAUGUUUCAAGAAAAGUGUAUGAUCUGAGUUACUUUGCUUGUAUCCGAACCCUUUCAUUGACUUGCUGAACUUUCCAAACCAUGCUCUAGGUGAUUGUUUCAAUCCAUAAAGAUACUUUCUUAGUUUACACACCAUGUUGCCUUUAUCAGGUCCCAUCUUGCAUCCCGGAGGGGGAUCCAUAUAGACUUCCUCUUCUAGAUCACCAUGCAAAAAUGCAUUUUUGACAUCAAACUGGUGUAAUGGCCAAUCUAGGUUUGCUGCCAGAGAAAGAAGUACUCGAAUUGUGUUAAUCUUGGCUACAGGAGCAAAUGUCUCCCCAUAAUCAAUCCCAUAAGUCUGAGUGUAUCCUUUCGCCACCAAUCUUGCUUUGUAUCGCUCAAUGGAGCCAUCUGCCUUGAACUUUACUGUAUAUAUCCAUCUACAACCCACUGUUCUCUUUCCUUUUGGAAGGAUAGUCAUCUCCCAAGUGGAAUUCUUCUGAAGGGACUCCAUUUCAUCAUUCAUUGCUUGGGACCACUUGGGAUCUUUCAAAGCUUCCUGCACAUUACUUGGAAUAGAUACAGUGGAUAAUUGACAUACAAAUGAUGCACAUGACAGAGAUAGCCUAUGUAGGGACACAUGAUUAGCAAUAGGGUAUUUAACAUUUGUUUUAAGGUCAGGGUCAUAUUGUUGUCUAGGAAUACCUCUAGUCGUACGAGGAGGUAGUUGAUAACUUGUGUUUCCUGUAUUACUUGACUCAGGUAGAGUGAUUGAGUUGGAGUUUGAAUGUUUAAUUACCUGUGGGAAAUCAUCAGGACCUGAUUGGAUGUAUGGUGAUGGUACUGUAGUAGGAGUUGUAGAGGGGAAAUUAUCUGAACUAGUACCAGCAUCUGGAGUUCUUAGUGACUCUUGAUCUUGUUGCACCACUAUAACUAGUUGUUCGGAAUCUGAUUGCUCAGUACCAGCAUCUAGAGUUCUUAGUAACUCCUAUUCUUGUUGCACCAUUGUAACUGGUUGUUCAGACACCGACUGCUCUAAAACCUUUUGUUGAAUUUGGAUCUGAGUAUCUUUUGCAAAGAUAGAGCUCUCCCCCUACAGAGGAUGCUUAGAGACUCCCCCUGAGUAAUAGAACUCACUCUCGUGGAAAGUCACAUCUGCAGUAAUGUGCAAGGUUUGAGUAGGAGGAUGGAAACAUUUAUAGCCCUUCUGAGUAUCAGCAUAACCCACAAAGACACAACGCAGAGCACAUGGAUCAAGCUUGCCACGUUGGUGUGGAUAUAACUGAACAUAAACAACACAUCCAAAGAUACAUGGUUCGAGAUUUGGUGUAGAUGGCAUGGUGGGGAGAGUGGUCAAUGUCUGAAAUGGAGUUUUAUACUGAAGAGUGCUAGAUGGUGUUCUAUUAAUGAGGUAAGCAGCAGAACAAAGAGCCUCCCCCAAAAAAUAAUGAGGUAAACUGGCCUCAAAUAAAGAGGCACGAACAACUUCCAAGAGAUGUCGAUUAUUACGCUCUGCGACACCAUUCUGUUGUGGUGUAUAUGCACAUGUGGUGUGAUGAACAAUACCAUGUUGACUUAAAAAAUUAUGAAGGUCAUUGUUGACAUAUUCUCCUCCAUUGUCAGACCGGAGGGUCAUGAUUUUCUUGUCAAACUGAGUAGCAACAUAUUGAUAAAAUAGUUUGAAUUUGAUGGUAACUUCACUUUUCUGUCUUAAAAGAAACACCCAGGUCAUCCGAGUGCAAUCAUCAAUAAACGUCAUAAACCACUUAUAACCAGUAAUAGUAGGAACUCGUGAUGGUCCCCAAACAUCAGAAUGAACAAUCAUGAAAGGCAUGGAACUUUUAUUCAACCUUAAUGGGUAAGAAAUGCGAUGACUUUUCGCCAAAAUGCAAGUUUCACAAUGAAAGUCUGAUUCAAUAAACUGAGAAAACAAAUCUGGAAAUAGAAGUUUCAGAUAACCAAACGAGGCAUGCCCUAAUCGUCGAUGCCAUAACCAAAUUUUCUUCAUUCUGAUGGACUCACCUCCUCUCACAUGAUGUGCAUGACUCAAUCUCUUAGUUAUGUCAUCUGUCAAGUCCAGAUAAUAUAAUUUUCCCCUCCUAGUACCACAUUCAAUCACGGCCUUGCUGAGAAGAUCCUGAAAUAGACAAUAUAAUGGCCAAAAACACACGGUGCAAUUAAGGGAAUCAAUGAUCUGAGGAACAGAUAACAAGUCAUAGUCCAGUGAAGGGACAACUAAGACAUGAUCAAGACUUAAUGAGGAUGUGAGAGAUAAGGACCCUUCUCUCAUAACUCGGGAGGUGGUGCCAUUGGUACUAACAAUAUGUGUUUGGCUGGAAGGUGUGGCAGAGUGUAACCCAAUAAAACUAGAUGUCAUGUGAUUAGUGGCACCAAUGUCAAUAAUCCAUGAUCUAUUACAAGUAAGUGAAGAUGUGCAAGAGUUACCUGAGGUGGCCAAGGCCUUGGAGUCAGUUGUACCUGAUGGAGUUUCUAAUGUAGUCUCCUGAGAUGAUUGGGCAGAUGCAAAUGAUGCUCGGUUUGAGUCCCUCUUGCGCCUUUUGUGAACCCAUCCUUCUGGAUAACCAAUGAUCUCAUAACAGCCCUUAAUUGUGUGAUUAUCUAAACCACAUUUGGUAUAUUUCAUUGGUGGUCGGUUACGAGCAGGGUCAACGUUAUAGCUAUGCAGCCGAGAUUGUUUUACCCUUGCACCAGCCAAGGCUGUGGCUGCGUUGGUUGCACCAGCUUCAGACAUGGUUCCUUGUUUGUUACUUUCCCUUUUAAUAUGUGCGUAUGCACCCUCAAGUUCUGGUUUAGGCUCCAUCCUCAAAAUCUCUCCUCGAAUUUCAUCAAAAUUAUUGUCUAAACCUGCAAGAAAUAUGUAAACUCGAAGACGAUCAACCUCUUUCCGUCUAAUUUCAAUGUCUGAUGGAUGCUCCAUUGUGCUUGGAUUUAAUUGAUCAAGCUCCUGAAAAAUCUCAGUAAGCUCACUGUAAUACUUGGCAACUGAUGCACCAGCUUGUCUCAUUAUGAAUGAUCUUCUGUGCAGGUCAUAAAUCUUAGCUUCAUCAGCACCAUCUGAAUAGGUUUGCUUGAUUGCAUCCCAGACUUGCUUUGCUGUGUCAUAACGAAUAAACCUUUUAAUUUGAUUAGGCUGCAUGGCAUCAAACAACCAACUCUUGACUUGGCAGUCUGAUGCUCGCCAUUUAUUAAAUGUGGAAUUUGUGACUGCAGGCUGGGCAAUAUCACCAGUCAGAUGGCCAUGCUUUUCUCGCCCAGCUAUCUUCAUCUCUAUGAUUUGAUGCCAUAAAGAAUAGUUAUUCUCAUCAAGUUUUAUUCCUGCAGAGAAGUUGGAGGUGUCACUCUGCAAUGUGACUAUUUGUGUGGUAGUGUUGGAGUCUCCUGACAUGAAAGAUUGAUUAGUGUUUGUUGAACAAUCAUCAUCGGCCAUGAUAUUGGCUUACAAGUGAUGAGAGAAAGGAGAAAGAACAGAGUAAUUUGACUAAUGUAACAAAAAAAAAAAGAGCAAGUAGAGUAAUUUGGUUGAGGGAACGGUGAAAGGUGAUUUAGUAUUUCUUUUGACUUGUGGGUUGGAAUGUGAAUAAUCUGACUGUGUGGAUGAUGGUUGCUGCUGCGAAGGGUUCUGUUGGGUUUGUAUGACGGCUGCUGUUGCGGAAACGAUUUAUAAAAUUAGGGCAAGAGACAGUCAAGAUCGACUGCUCUGAUACCAUAUCAGAUCUUGUGAAAAUACUGGUUUAUUAUUUCUUGUUCUCGUAUAACAGCAGAGGGUUAUAUAUAUACAAAGCCUAGAAAGCUAUUUUAGAAAUAUUACUACGGGCCUAUAAUCCUGCAGAAUUAGAUACAAUGAAUCAAACUAAUUAGGAAUACACAGCUCAUUGACACUUUUCAACCGGGUUUUUUGGAAGUUGAUAGUCAGGCACAUCAUUUUGCCCACAAGGAUCACCCAUUGAUUUUGAAUGAAGAGCAAGAAUAUCAUGGUGAAGGAGUAAAGUGCUUCGUGUGCACGGAACCAAUGUCUGGUCCUAGCUAUAGUUGCAUUUCUCGCAACUUGUUUCUUCACAAGAAGUGUGCUGAGCUACCCCCGGAGAUCAAGAGGCACAUUCAUCCAGAACACCCUCUUCGUCUACUGCCAAAUCAUGAUACGAUGUGUGAUUUUUGCAACGAAACUUGCUAUGAGAGUUUUGUUUACUGCUGUCUUGUGUGCGAAUUCAACCUCCAUAUCAAAUGUGCUUUUCCACCGUGCGUUUAUGCAGCUGAUCAGGAUCAAAGGCAUCUAUUUAGACGCCUACUGAAUCCACUUUCAUUCAAAUCAAUCUCCUUCACCUGCAAUGCAUGUGGCACAGAUGGAGAUGGCUCCCCUUUCAUGUGCACCUUGUGCCAUCUCGUGGUCCACGAAGAAUGCAUUUCAUUGCACUGCACCAUCAUCCCCAAAUCAUCCACACAUAUCAACUUCAACAAUGCAUCGAAUCUAUAAACAGGUACUGUUGAAUUUGCCUUCGGGAAGUUGACUCAAAUUACGGAGUUUACUAUUGCCCGGACUGUGACUUCGUUGCACACGUGAAUUGUAGUAGAGAAUAUGGGGAUUCUGCAACAGAGAUUGUGGUAGAAAACGAAGAAGAGCAAAGUGUGGCUGUUGAUGAUCAAUCCAUGGAACCUAGCUUUCGCGUUGUCCGUGAGAUCAAGCAUGGAGAAGAGAGAAUAAUUGAAGAGAUCAAACAUUUCAGUCAUCAACAUAACCUAAUCCUUAUUGACAAGGUUGAUGAUGAUCUAAAGUGUGAUGGGUGCAUGUUACCAAUCUCAACUGACAAAACCUGCUUAGAAUUACCAGGCGAAAAAAGUGGCAAUAUCACGAAAACCAACUGAUUCUUUUAUAUAACCUAUGGGAACAUGAUCUGUACAAGUGUAGUGUGUGCAAGCAAUAUUUUCGUGGGCUCAGCUACUGUUGUGUUAUAUGUGGACUCUGGAUUGAUGUCCAAUGCUUCAAAUCAUUGAAAGAUUCUUUUAAACACAGAGGUCAUGAUGAGCAUCCCCUUUAUCUUCCAGCGGGCAGAAAGAGUAUUCUCCAUUGCGAUAUUGGAGGUCGCGGGGCUCCCCCUUGGCUUGCAGAUGACGGAGAGAAUAUUCCCCAUUGCAGUGGCUGUUGUCACCGAAGAAUCAAAGGUAUUUUUUAAAUGUGCGGUUUGCGAUUUCAAGCUGGGUAUAAAAUGUGCUACACUGCCAUACAUAGCAAGACACGAGUAUGAUGACCAUCCUCUCUUCCUCACCUACAUUAAUGAAAAUGACUACCAGCCUUCCUGCUUAAUUUGUGAAAAAGAUAGAGACCCCAAGCUCUGGUUCUACCGUUGUGAGGAAUGCGACUUCGAUGCUCAUCC
RNAcentral lists this long non-coding RNA (18544 nucleotides) under Populus tremula. RNAcentral describes it as "long non-coding RNA (PTRE_LNC001171)". Lineage: Eukaryota; Viridiplantae; Streptophyta; Magnoliopsida; Malpighiales; Salicaceae. The record is from RNAcentral.